This is a long non-coding RNA of Priapulus caudatus, 500 nucleotides long. RefSeq lists it as uncharacterized. The transcript has 2 exons. The record is from RefSeq and is a predicted model, not a curated record. NCBI's taxonomy places the organism in Eukaryota, Metazoa, Priapulida, Priapulimorpha, Priapulimorphida, Priapulidae.
UCAAUCGCCAGACUGGAGGACACGGAUAAUUAUCACGUGCUCGAGGCAACGUCGUGCAACGAUUGAGUGGUUACCGCGGUCUCCAGUUGAACCUACCAAGAGGUGCACAGACAUAUAUUGCAAUCGCCGCGCCGUAACCGGAUAAACAUACGGAGGACACGGAGAAUCGACACCUUUUCAAGACAACAUCGAGCAGCGAGCGAUUCAGUGGUUACCGGUCUCCAGUUACACAUGCUCCACGAAGUGCGCACGUACGGGCUAUACGUACCCGUCUGAUGCGAUCUGUGUUUGGAGAUACUAUUCGUACUGAUUUCAUCACGUAAAGUAAAACGACUUCUUGUAGACAGCUCCACGACAUUUCGUCAGUUCAGGGAUAUUGACAAGUUGUAUUCUCUUAGAGAGAUAUGCCAUUCGUGAAGAGCUAUGAUAAACGCGUUGUUAAUUAGCUAUAUUCUCUUUACAAACAUUUUACAUACAUGAUAUAUUUCUUAUUAUAUUUA